AUAGUAAUAAUAAUAAUAAUAAUAAUAAUAUAAGAUCCUUUAGACUAUAUAUGAGAUAACUAUAUAAGAUAAAUCAAAGGUUGCAGAUUAACAAUUUUAAUAAUAACGGUUCUGGAAUUCAUUACCAUCAGCGCAUAGAUGACACUAAACAACAAUAUUUAAACAUUAAUGCUGAAGAUCUAGCAAUGUGCAUAGAAACAACCAAAUUUCACAGAAUUUGCAGACAAUCAAAUCCCAUUCUAUUUACACACAAUCAUAAUAAUUGUGAAAUCGCAUUAUUUAAUAAGAACGAUGAUAAAAUUCCCGAUAAUUGUGACAAAAGGCUUAUAGAAGUAGAAGAAAGUAUCUUUAUUCAACUAACAAAUAAAAAUGCUUGGCUAUUUUUAAUACCGAAACAAGAACCUUAACUUUAACUUGCACACAUAAAAAUCCAAUAGAUAUUAAAUUAAGAAAUUCGGGUAUAGUUACGAUUGAUGAGAAAUGUAAAGCAUACGGUGGGCUAUUUAUUUUGAAUACAAGGCAAGACAUCGAUGGAGGAUCACUACCCGAGACUUUUGUACCAACAUUCGAUAUUACUGACGAGAUCCGAGCAUCAACCAUCACAUCGAGGACCUCAACGUACAAUCUCACAAGCUGGAGGAAUUAGACAAAAUAUUAAACCAGAAGAAGCCUUCGAAAUUUGAACAUCCAUGGUCCAUCAGUGGCUACACAAUAGUUGCUAUAAUGUUAAUCUUUACGAUUUUCAAAAUCAUUCGAAAGAUAAAGCAAAGGAGAAGAAGGAGAACAAUUAGAGCAGACGACCUUUGGUGCCAGGUACGCAUAUCUUCGGACAACAUGGAAAUGAUCCACACGUCACCCCCAACAGAAGAUAACGGAGCAUUCGUGAUAACUACAAAUACAAAAGCGAAUAGUGCAGUGUCGAUCGGACAGAAUUUUUAAAAUGAACAAGAAUGUGAAUAGGAAGUGAAACUAGAAACAAUAAUAAGAAUAGAAGUUUAAUGGAUUAACUUAGAACCAUAGCGCUUAAGAUUAAAUUAAGUUUCGUAAAAAAAAAAUAUAUAUAUAUAUAUAUAUAUAUAUAUAUACAUUUUUUUUUUCCGGGGAGGAUGGAGUGAUGUUAUGAGCGUAUCAUUUAUGGUUUAUUUAUGUUUAUUGCACAUUACUUGGAUUUUUGAGUUAGAAAUAUUGUGUAUUUAGUUUUAGUUUUAUAUUCUAUUACCAUUUAUUAUUUUAUUGAAAUUUCCCGGCCGAAGGGUACGGUUUGUACAGACCUACCGCACAUUAGCAUAAACAUUAUAAGGGUCAAUGACCCGAGCGGCUACCCUUGGUCCUUCUUUCUAGUGUAUUUUACGAUAAGUUUAGUUUAAGAUUAUUAGUGCUAAAAUUAUUUAGUCUUAGCUCAACCUCGGUGGAGUUCGGUCAGCCUUAUGAGCCAGAAGUAGAGUUUGUAAUUCGCCUCUUGGUCAAUAUUUUGUAAAUAAAGACUUAGUAGAAUCUUUGGCUCAGUUCUUCUUUCCGAAAGAAAUAAUAAGUUAGAAGAAUCGGGUUGUCUGAAGAGCAAAGGCUCACAACAUCAUCCCUAACACGCGAAUCAUUAAUUUAUCCGCGAAUCAUAAUAUUUCAACGUAAUUAAUAUUAACGUCUUAAUCUGAAGACUUUUUGAAAAUCCGAAAUAAAAAAAUCCGCGAUUUGCUUUUAUUUAAUUUGAAUUUGAACUGAUUGUAGUAUUACCGUAUUGCCGCAAACAUUGCACCGCGUUUUAUUAAAGUUUCAAUUAAGUGUUAUCGCGAACACUUUUAAAUAUUACAUUCGAGUAAAAUCAACCGGUCAACACACACACACACACACACACUAUAAACACUCACAUUACACUUUUGCUCGGUUCGUUUCGGCGAAUGCGGAGUUCCUGGGUAUUUGGUGUGUCUAGGCACACCCUUUACCUUACAUUCUCAACACAACACUACACGUUCUGUUCACGCAGAACAACACAAAUUAACACAAAUUAAUUCAAUGCAUCGCGCGCGGCAUUUUGAAGCAGAGAUUUGCUCUCUGCUUGCAAUAUAAGUAUGAAUGGCAUGCCUGUUGAAUGUUUAUAUUUUUGGUAUGAUUGUAUUGCACUGUAUUGUAUUUCAUUUCAUUUGUGUAUGUCGUGUUAAAUUUUGGGCAACCAAAAGCCGGCUGCUGCCGCUGGGAUGUGGCAGUCGGUCACUAUUGUUUUCGUUGCAAAACCGUUUUGCAUCCCGAGCACAGAUCGCCAAACGCGUCGGUGUUAGGCGGGUAUUUUUUUAUUAUAAUCGGUCUGUGCUCACAAAGCUAUCUCAUGUACUUAGGUAGGGACCAAAGGCAGGUCUUAUUAAAUUAGUUUUAAGUCUCCUACUCCUCUUAGAUGUGUGAAUGAUGAAUUGUUUUUAGAUAUUUGUGUACUAAUCUUUUUCCGCUUUCAGGAUAAUCGCGAUUUAGCUAUUGGUUGACAUUAGGCAGGGUUUUAGGUCCUUCCUUAUCCUUAUUAAUGUCUUUUUCUUACAGCAAUUUGUGUAUUUUUUAUAUGUUUUAUUGAUAUUUGUUUGAUGAUUUAUUAUGUAUUUGUAUUGUGAGUGUGAAUGAGUUCCAAAAAUCCAAAAAAUCCUUACUAAUGAAUUAUGAUUUUGUUUCAGUAACUAAUUAAAUAUUUCUUCUAUGUUUUCAGGGCGUUUUGUUUGAAUUGAUAAUUAAUCUUUUAAUAUAUGUUACAGGGUCCUGGAUGCUAUCCAAUCGUUGAUGUGUUUUAGAGUUGUUUUAUGUUUUAUUCUUGAAUUUUACUAAUCACAAAAUUGUUCUGCUUGUUUGUUUGUACAGAUUAAUGGAAAUCCUAAUGAAUUAUCAGAAACUACGAAAAAAUAAAUAAUAAAAAUUGCAAGAGUCAAGGUUGCCAAAGAAACGACAUUCGAACUUCAAAAAAGAUAUUACAAGAAACAUUGGAAUUGGAAUCAAAUACUGAUAACAACUUCAUGUACAGAGCAGUGCAGUGUAGUGAGAAGUGUAUUAUUAAUAGUGCGCGACUGUUGCAAUAUAGUGCCGGAGUGUCGUGAAAUAUUUAACAAUUCCUUUACAGAUCAACCGUUUUUAAGACAUGAAGAAACCAAGAUAGAUGAGAUUUUUCUCCAGGAUGUACCAAGAUAAGAGUACUUUUGUGGGCCCACUAAUUCAAAACGACAAUGGAGUUUACAAGCCGAUGAUAAAUCCGAAAUUAUCAAUUACAACGGAAGAAUUCAAAAUAGAAAUAGCGAGAAUUAAGAUUGCCAAAGACGACAUUAAAACCUCAAAAAAGAUACUACAUAAAACAUUGGAAUUGGAAAUUGGAAAACAUGUAGAAUUGGAAUAGAAUGUUGAUAUCAAUUUUAUGUGCAGUGCUGUGCAGUGAGAAGUGUAUUAUUAAUAGUGCGCCAGCGUGUCUAUAUAGUGCGGGAAAAUGAAAUAAUUCUUAAUAAUUCCUUUACAGAUCAACAGCAUGUUUUAACUGCACGAAAGUCAAUAAUCAUAGUCAUGUUGCACGUUCUUAUGUCUCGUUUUUGAAUGCGAAACAAGAAGAUCCUUCCAUCCUGAGGGCAAAGAAGAUCCUUCCAUCCUGAGGCCAUGGAGAGAUGAGGCGUUGUACUAAAAUAAGGCACAUUUCAAAGAGUUUCAGAAGAAGAAGAAGAAGAAGAAGAAGAUCCAUCCAUCCACGCCGAGGUCAGUCCUGAAGGGUAUGCACCAGAUUCAGCCUUCUUUCCGACCGGAAGAACUCUUGAGGGUCAGGGUCCGAUGUGUACACCCAUCAAGGAAUGGGCUGCUGCCCUUGGGGGUAUGUAAAGUUGGAAAGAAAUUGUGCUAAAGAAGAGGUCAAUGAUGUGCAGUUCCAUCCACGCCGAGGUAGAUCAUGAAGGAUGACCUAAUGUGAUGUAUCCAGUUUUCCAGCGAGAAAAAGCCUUUUGGGGUCAGGGUCCGAUGUGUACACCCAUCAAGGAAUGGGCUGCUGCCCUUAAGGGUUUGCACAACCGCAAAAAUGCUGUGAAGCUGGACUACAUAAUUUUUUCCCAACGCCGAGGUUUCAUCUAAAGGGGGGUGGGGGUAUCAAUAUACACACAAAUCCGAAAUAUUGGACACCGGGUUAAGUCCACCGCGAGCCCCACAUCACCUUUAGAAGUAGAUGCUUGGAUGUUGUAUACCCAUCUAGGAAUGGGCAGAUACUUCUGUCGGUGGUGAGGGGCACAUCAACAACACACACUACUCUUGGAGGUGAUGACAGAUGCACCCAUCUGGAACCUCUUAGAGAACUCGGGCGUCUUGUUAAUUCAUUAUAAUUUUGCUAAUUCGUUAUAAUGGACAACCGUGUCCAUCCGCGUUAGAAUCACGCGAACGACAAAGUACACAUCAACACACACUUUCAUAACACUCAUUACUUUACACUAACACUUAAUGAUGAGGUGGAGUCAACAGAAACAUUUAUUGUGAUGAUUUGUUUAAUUGGCUUAGUAUUUCUUUUAGUUUUUCGUAAUUUUAUGAAGAAACAUCAUGAAAUGAAGAAGAUUCGGAAGAAAUAUAAUGAAAGAUGUCACAUUCAAGUAAAAAGAAAGUAAUUGACAAAUAUUGAAGUAAGAGAUCUUUAUAUUUUGUGUUUUGUGUCGUUUUGGGUUGGUGUUUCAUAUGUUUAUGAACAGUUCGUAGUGUAGUGUAGUAGUAGAAAGCACGUAGUCGUAGUAGUAGUAGUAUGUAGUAUUAGUUGUAGUUAUAGACUAGUAGUAGAGUAGUGGACUGUGAAAUGAACAUUUGAAAUUCUAACAAAUUCUACACAAUUUACAAACAGUUAAAAAAGCUUCGGAAUAGAAAGAUUCCAAUGGAAAAUGUCAAGCAAAUCGUUAAUCAAAGAAAGAGGAUUCCAAGCAACUUGGCGGUUACAUAGUUUAAGAUUUUCUUUCUCAUUAAACAAUGUUUUGAUUUCAUAAUAUUUUAAUUUAUUGUUCAAUAAUCAAAAUAUUAGUCAAUCUAACAAGUGCA
Dalotia coriaria is the source of this 5013-nucleotide long non-coding RNA. RefSeq lists it as uncharacterized. NCBI's taxonomy places the organism in Eukaryota, Metazoa, Arthropoda, Insecta, Coleoptera, Staphylinidae. The record is from RefSeq and is a predicted model, not a curated record. The transcript is spliced from 4 exons.